GUGACAGCCGCCGCGGUAAUACGUAGGGUGCGAGCGUUAAUCGGAAUUACUGGGCGUAAAGCGUGCGCAGGCGGUUUUGUAAGACAGAUGUGAAAUCCCCGGGCUUAACCUGGCCAACUGCGUUUGUGACUGCAAGACUCGAGUACGGCAGAGGGGGGUGGAAUUCCACGUGUAGCAGUNAAAUGCGUAGAGAUGUGGAGGAAUACCAAUNGNGAAGGNAGACCCCUGGGUUAACACUGACGNUCAUGCACGAAAGCUNGGGAGCAAACA
This 270-nucleotide ribosomal RNA is filed under the name unidentified soil organism R6-124. RNAcentral's name for it is "partial 16S ribosomal RNA". It matches the Rfam family "Bacterial small subunit ribosomal RNA", at positions 505 to 774 of the family's 1533-position model. The record is from RNAcentral.